This 424-nucleotide ribosomal RNA is filed under the name Salmonella enterica. RNAcentral describes it as "bacterial LSU rRNA". It matches the Rfam family "Bacterial large subunit ribosomal RNA", at positions 953 to 1290 of the family's 2925-position model. Lineage: Bacteria; Pseudomonadati; Pseudomonadota; Gammaproteobacteria; Enterobacterales; Enterobacteriaceae. The record is from RNAcentral.
ACUGCGAAUACCGGAGAAUGCUAUCACGGGAGACACACGGCGGGUGCUAACGUCCGUCGUGAAGAGGGAAACAACCCAGACCGCCAGCUAAGGUCCCAAAGUCAUGGUUAAGUGGGAAACGAUGUGGGAAGGCCCAGACAGCCAGGAUGUUGGCUUAGAAGCAGCCAUCAUUUAAAGAAAGCGUAAUAGCUCACUGGUCGAGUCGGCCUGCGCGGAAGAUGUAACGGGGCUAAACCAUGCACCGAAGCUGCGGCAGCGAACGUAUCACCCAAGACAACUUUACGGAGUUGACGAUUGACGGAGCGAAGCGACGUCAAAGCGUUCAUUAAAGUCGAGUUGGCUUAGGGAUACGUUCGUUGGGUAGGGGAGCGUUCUGUAAGCCGUUGAAGGUGGCCUGUGAGGGUUGCUGGAGGUAUCAGAAGUG